UUAUCAAAAACAUGUCUUUUUGAAAUAAAUUUAAAGUCUAACCUGCCCAUUGAAAAAUUUUAAAAGGCUGCGGUAUUUUGACCGUACAAAGGUAGCAUAAUCAUUAGUUUUUUAAUUGAAAACUUGUAUGAAGGGUUGAACGAGAUAUUAGCUGUUUCAUAAAAAAUAUUAGAAAUUAACUUUUUAGUAAAAAGGCUAAAAUGAAAUUAAAAGACGAGAAGACCCUAUAGAGUUUUAUAUUUUUAAAAAUUUAACUUAUUUAGAUAAUUUAAAAUUUUAUAUUUAAAAAUAUUUUGUUGGGGUGACAAUAAAAUUUAAUAAACUUUUAUUUAUUUAAUACAUUGAUUUAUGAAUAAUUGAUCCAAUUUUAUUGAUUAAAAGAUUAAAUUACCUUAGGGAUAACAGCGUAAUUUUUUUAUAGAGUUCUUAUCGAUAAAAAAUUUUGCGACCUCGAUGUUGGAUUAAGAGUAAUUUUAGGUGUAGCAGCUUAAAAAUUAAGUCUGUUCGACUUUUAAAUUCUUACGUGAUCUGAG
RNAcentral lists this ribosomal RNA (533 nucleotides) under Leptomorphus walkeri. RNAcentral describes it as "partial 16S ribosomal RNA". It matches the Rfam family "Bacterial large subunit ribosomal RNA", at positions 1804 to 2609 of the family's 2925-position model. The record is from RNAcentral. Lineage: Eukaryota; Metazoa; Arthropoda; Insecta; Diptera; Mycetophilidae.